RNAcentral lists this ribosomal RNA (445 nucleotides) under uncultured bacterium. RNAcentral describes it as "partial 16S ribosomal RNA". It matches the Rfam family "Bacterial small subunit ribosomal RNA", at positions 354 to 796 of the family's 1533-position model. The record is from RNAcentral.
GUGAGGAAUAUUGGACAAUGGGCGCAAGCCUGAUCCAGCCAUGCCGCGUGCAGGAAGACGCAUCUAUGGUGUGUAAACUGCUUUUGUACGGGAAGAAACACUCCCUCGUGAGGGAGCUUGACGGUACCGUAAGAAUAAGGAUCGGCUAACUCCGUGCCAGCAGCCGCGGUAAUACGGAGGAUCCAAGCGUUAUCCGGAAUCAUUGGGUUUAAAGGGUCCGUAGGCGGUUUAAUAAGUCAGUGGUGAAAGCCCAUCGCUCAACGAUGGAACGGCCAUUGAUACUGUUAGACUUGAAUUACAAGGAAGUAACUAGAAUAUGUAGUGUAGCGGUGAGAUGCUUAGAUAUUACAUGGAAUACCAAUUGCGAAGGCAGGUUACUACUUGUGGAUUGACGCUGAUGGACGAAAGCGUGGGGAGCGAACAGGAUUAGAUACCCCGGUAGUCC